UGCUGGAAUGACAGGUGAGUACUACUGUGCCUGGCAAGACCACUUGCUUUUUUUUUUUUUUUUUUUUUUUUCGUCUUUUUGAGUUCAGGUUUUGGUCUUUCUGCAGUUCAGGCUAACCUUGAGCUCACUUUGUCACCCGGCUGGUCUUGAACUUGCAGUGAUCCUCCUGCCUCAGCCUCACGAGUGCUAGGAUUACAGAUCACUUUUUUUAGGUAAAACUUUUACACUGAAAUAUAACAUAUAUAUUUAUGUUAACAUAUUAGAUAAAAGCACAAAAAAUUAAGUAUACAGUUCCAAAAAAUUUUCAUAUAGCUAAUGCUUGUAAGGCAGUUGCCAGACCUAGAAAUGGAGCAUUGCCAGCACCCCAUAAUCCUACAAGCCCCAGUCACACCUAUUCCUAACACUUCUGCCCCCUUGGGAGUAACUACCAGCCUUACCUCUAUUUCUUUUUGUUUAGAUGAGAUCUGGCUAUGUUGCCCAGGCUGGCCUUAGCCUCUGAGUAGCUAGGACUACAGACAAUGCCACCACACUCAGCUGUUAUUCUAAAUUACUAAAGAUCUUACUGGUUUGGGAUCUUUGCGGACAUGGAAGCACACAGCAUGUAUUCUUUUUAGUCUGGCUUUUUUUUUUCCUCAUUACAUUAUGAGCUUCAUUCAUGUUGUACGAAGUCACACGUUUGAAUCUUGCAAUGCUCCUGCCAUUUCUGUAGUUAUUCUAAGGUAGAUGGGCCUUGAGGAUGAUUUACUGUUGUGUGUUGCUACAUAAAAUACAGCAUGUAACCGGGCUGCUAUGAACAUUCUGUUACCUGUCCUUGAGUGAAACUGUUUUGGGCUGGGGUUGGUGACACCUACUAAAGGGUGGAAUUGCUGUUCGUAGGGUAUGUUUAACUCCUAUAGAUACUACCAGACAGCUUCCCUCCUGUUUUCUGUAUGUAUUUUGUUUACUUUCUGGUCAAAGACAUCCUGGGUUCAUCUUCUGUGUCCUCUACGGGAACCCUGAAUCCAACCAUUUCUUUGAGAUGUCCUUGUGCUUUUGUGCAAGGAAUUGUAUGUGAAAGCUCAGUCUGGAACCUAGUUGUGCUCAUGCCCACUGGGAUGUCCUCAUUUUAAUUCCUUUUAGUGGUCAAAGCUAGAAAAUACACUAAAGAGCACAGUCAUGUGUUCACAUUGACAAGUCCAAUUUAACAUCACAAUUUUUUUCUUUAACUUUUAUCUAUUGAUAGGUGCAUUUCGUUUCUCUUACACUAAAAGUCUUGCUGGUAACAUCAAUAUAUUUGGUUCUAUAGUCUUGGCCUACAUUUACAUAAAACAAUUUCAAGAGUGCAAUAUCAAUGUUACUGCUGAUAAUAAGCUGUGUGAAUGAAAUGGUACAGGAGUAGAGCUUUGGAUUUCUUGGCAGUUCUGGUCCCUCAUCACUAAAUGGCUUACAUGUAACGGGGAAUAUGAAGAAUUCAUCCAGCAGUGUAAAAAGGGGCUGCUGGGUUCAGAACUAGGCUUGUGGGCCUGAUGCCUUCUGAACAUCGCUAGGGCUGAGCUCCCAGUGUUUGUGGCUUCUCUUUCCUUUCUCUAAUUCCCAUUCUGAAGAGUUCCAAGGUUUCCAUUGAGAACGGUGCACAGCUGGGCACAGCGCUCUCUCUCCUCUCUCAGAGGCUCUAGUUGACAUCGUCUAUCUUUCCUUCACCUUAGUGGUGAUGGUUAAUUUCUUUUUCUUUCAGUACUAGGCACUGAAUCCAGAUAUCCUCCAGCCCUUUUACAUUUAUUUCAUUCUGAGACGGAGUUUUGCUAAGUUGCUAAAUUUCCCUGGCUAGACUCAGUUCUCCUGCUUCAGCUUCCCUGAGUAUUGGGAUUAUAGCUAUGUGCCGCUGUGUCCAGGUGACAGUUAAUUUCAUGUGUCAACAUGGGUAGGCAGUGGUGCUUAGGUAUUAGAUGAAACCCUAGUUUAGAUAUUGUUGUGCAUCUACUGUCUGUCUAUUUAUCUACAAGGUCUUACUCUUGUUCAGCCAGGCUGGCCUCAAACUCACUAUGUAGUACAGGCUGGCUUUGAACUUGCUAUGAACUCCCUGCUUCAACUUCCUGAGUGCUGGGAUCAUACCAUGGCUGGCAUACUGUGCCACCUUUUAAAAACACGUGAUUAGUACUUAAUUAGUGAGUUUUAGAUAAAGCAGAUUGCUCUCUGUAAUGUGAUGGGCCCCACCCAACUAGUUGAAGGCCUGAAAAGACUGAAGUCCCUGGAAGAGAAAGGAAUUCUGUCUCCAGGCUGCCUCAGACUCAAGACACCAGUUUCUUGCUGGAACUGCCAAUUCAUCCCGUGGAAUUUGGAUGUCCCGGCCCCCCCUCACCCCUUGCCACACAGUAUUGGUUCUGAUUCUGUGAAAAACCUUAAUACAUUCAUAUCUCAAAGCUCAGUCAAAAUGUUUGGGAUCUUUGUGGCCUAGUUACAGCAUCAGGUGGGAAGAGGCUGCAGUGUUCAGGAAGGAGGGAAAGAGAGUAGAAAGGGCAGGAUGCAAGUGAGGAAAAUGACAUGUGAGAACAAAGGGCAGACUCUCACACAGAACAAGACCAAUGUAGUGGCUGCCAGCACAUGGGAGGGUGCCUCUUGUUUGGUUGGAACCAGAAUGUUCUCGUGGGCCAGGAGCAGCCUGUGCUUGGCUUCAAUGAGACAAGAAGGCUCCUGGGUUCCUUGACUGACUGUUCUUGCCAGGGGCUUUCGGUGCAACCAGGUGUGUGUGAUGGCCUGUGUUUGGGAACAGCUUCCCUUCAGCAGUGCAAGACAGUGGGUCAGAAGCUAAGGGCGUGCGCCGUUCAGUGAACAAAGGUUGAGGCUAAGUUACAGAUGACUACUGUUGUUACACCAGGAUCAGGUUUCCUCCAGCUUUCCCUCCUUCAUUCACCUUCCUCCUCCUCAGGAGGAGGCUUUGACAAGACAGCGGGAAACAGAAUAUGGAUAACCUUGGUGGUAUUCAAUGGGUAGCAGGACAGUUUAUUGCUAAUGACACUCCAUUCUGGGAUCAAAAAUCUCCUUCUGUGAGACUCCAAGUUUCCAUCACUGCCCUUCCACUAAGGAGUUGGGACCCUUGUGGGUGGAUGAGAGGGUGAGGGAAGACCAAUGAGACAGUACAAGCAGAGAAGAUAGGAGAGGGAGGAGACCCCUGAUACACAGUGACAGGGUGAGGAAAUGCUCACACAGUCUUUUCUGUGCUUGUACCUUGCUUAUUUAUUGACCUCUUUUGUUAGUGAGGUCCCCCUGCAGCAGUUGACAACCUGCAUACCUUCCUACUGAUAUAAAAUCAGGGUGACACUGUGAGAGCUGACCAGAACCCUCUUCCCCUCCCUGCGGGUUAGGGACAAGCUGGGCAACAGAAUGUUCUGUAAUCUAAAGAUAACUGCCAGUUUCCCCUAGCUAGCCACAAAAUGUUCUGUUCCCAGAACCUAAAACUGACGAACAACGGUGACCCAGCUACGACCCAACGCCCCUGGUUCCACAAUGCCCCAACCAAUCAGCAAUGAACAAGUACUGAUGUGAUCCAAACUAACCAAUACAAUUCGCUUCUGUAAUAACGCUUGCUUUGCAGUUUCUUGCUUUGAAAACUCUGCCUAUUCGACCCUCGGGUUUCCUCGGUGCCCUUUUGCCUGGGGACCCCAUAUGCAUGGUACAAUAAACUAUCGUCUCUGAAGAACUGCUGAGUCCUUGGAGUCCUUUCCCGUGACAACGACCCUUACAUUUGGAGGCCCUAGCGAGACCAGGCGUCUCGCGGAGACGGCCCCAACGAUCGGCUGUCCCCUUCGGAGGCUCAUCGCCCUCGAUAGCCUACAAAAGACCAUCUGGAAACAGCUGUCCUCAGCCUAUCAACCCAGUGACUGCCCUACUCCACACCAUUUCCAAGUGGGUGACUUCGUAUUGGUCCGACGGCAUCAAGCCGAAACCCUACAGCCCUGCUGGAAAGGACCAUAUCAAGUGCUCCUGACAACUCCGACGGCGGUCAAAGUUGAUGGAAUCGCAUCUUGGAUUCAUGCCUCGCAUUUAAAGCCCACUUCCCCACCAGCGGAAAACACCUGGACCAUAGAACGGUCAGCUAACCCCCUAAAGGUCAAAUUGCACCGCCGGAAAGCCCCCUAAAGACUUUUGUGCUCCUGAUGUUCUAUUACCCUAUUUGGUUUCUGGUUGUACUUUGAUUGGUUAUAUACUUCUUCUUAUCGGCCACCACUUACUGACCAUAUCCUUAAUGAUAAUAAGUAGCACCCCACUAUGUCUUAUACGCUACCCCUAGCUUCCCUACUUAUGGCUGGCUUGAUAGGCCAUUCCUCACCCACUGAUAACCCCCACAGGCCCCUAGAUCGAAAAUGGGUAAUUACCAACCCUGAGACAGAGACAUCCUUUAUUCUGGCUUCUAAGACUGGCCCAAAGACCCCAUGGUUCCCUGACCUAACCUUUGACCUAUGUAAACUGGCCGGAAAGUCCUGGCAUUUAGGGUUGGGACCAGGAAACCAGCUACGUCAUCAAUAUUACCCAUUCUCCCACCAGCCUCAAUGUAAAACAAAAGACUGGUAUAUUUGCCCGGGGGACACCCGCAUAUCUGAAUACAAGUGUGGGGGUUCUAACUAUUACUUUUGUGCGGCCUGGGGAUGUGAAACUUCGUACACCGGCCGAGAUUGGAAACCGUCCGGACCUCCGGAUUUAAUUACAAUAAAAAAGGCCCCACUAUCACCCCUGAGGGACUCCCAAGAGGGCAUUAUUUCUUUCACCACCCUUGGAAAGGCUACAACCGGUUGGGAAACAGGUAAAACUUGGGGACUCCAGUUAUAUGCCACCGGAUACCCUGGCAUAUUGUUUAUUCUAAAGUUACAAGAACAACCAGCCACCCCGAUUGUAUCUAUAGGACCAAACCCUGUCAUCAUAUCUAAAACUCUGCCUAAAUCUACCCAGUCGCCAACCACUCAGUGGCCAAUCAUCUUUUCACUGGUUAAUUCGCCUCAGACACCCAUAACAGUCCCACAACCCCCCCCUUAACAAACCCCCUGAGGCUAAAGCAGACCCUCUAUUUAACCUCAUCCUUGGAUAUGCAGCCCUAAACCAAACCCAACAAAACUUAACCAGCUCCUGCUGGUUAUGUUUGACUGCAUCCCCACCUUACUAUGAAGGCAUAGCAGUCAACGGCACCUACAGCAGGACUAAUGGAGACUCAUGUGACUGGAACAAUAACUAUCGGCUCACUUUACCAGAAGUUUCCGGACAAGGAUUAUGUUUAGGCACACCCCCCUCCCCAAUCUCAAAAUUGUGUACAAUUACCCAAUCUGUCACCCCAGCCUCUAACGGGGACUCUAACAAAUACUUAGUACCUGGGCUGGGGACUCGAUGGGCUUGUAACACUGGUCUCACCCCUUGUAUCUCAGCUGAAGUUUUCAAUAACUCAAUUCAUUACUGUGUUAUGGUUAAAGUGUAUCCUAGAGUUAUAUAUCACUCAGAUGAAGAUUUUCAGAUGCACCAAGCUAUACAACACCGAUAUCCACGAGAUGUGGCCACUUUAACUUUAGUCAUGCUCUUGGGCCUUGGUGUCACUGCAGGGAUAGGAACAGGAACUACUGCACUCAUAAAAGGAUCACAGCAACUGAGCCUCUUAGAGUUAGCCAUAAAUACAGACCUACAAGAACUAGAAAAAUCUGUGUCAGCUUUACAAACCUCCUUCACCUCCUUGUCUAAAGUAGUGUUACAAAAUAAAAGAGGACUAGAUCUCUUGUUUUUAAAAGAGGGGGGAUUAUGUGCUGCCUUAAAAGAAGAAUGCUGUUUUUAUGCUGACCACUCAGGAGUAGUAAAAGAGUCCAUGGCUAAAUUAAGAGAACGACUCCAAGCCAGACAAAAAGAGUUACAAAACGGACAAAACUGGUUUGAGUCCUGGUUUAAUCAGUCACCCUGGUUAACAACACUGCUCUCUGCAGUGGCUGGCCCUCUUAUAAUGCUAUUGCUCCUAGUCACAGUAGGCCCAUUUGUCCUUUCCAGACUCACUCAGUUUAUACGGUCUCAGGUAUCCCAGGUCAAGAUCCUGAUGCUGCAUCAACAAUAUGACCCCAUACCUCUCCAAGACCUUUAAGAUUAAAGGAAAUUUACAAGACAAGGGGGGAAUGUGAGAGCUGACCAGAACCCUCUUCCCCUCCCUGCGGGUUAGGGACUUUCCACAAGCUGGGCAACAGGAUGUUCUGUAAUCUUAACUUUUUCUUUCUUUCUUUUUUUUUUUUUUAUCGGUACCAGGGAUUGAACUCAUGACCGCCUGCUUGCAAGGCAGGUGCUUAUGCCACUAAGCUAAAUCCCCAGCCCCGGAUGUUCUGUAAUCUAAAGAUAACUGCCAGUUUCCCCUAGCUAGCCACAAAAUGUUCUGUUCCCAGAACCUAAAACUGACAAACAACGGUGACCCAGCUAGGAUCCAAUGCCCCUGGUUCCACAAUGCCCCAACCAAGCAGCAAUGAACAAGUACUGAUGUGAUCCAAACUAACCAAUACAAUUCGCUUCUGUAAUAACGCUUGCUUUGCGGUUUCUUGCUUUAAAAACUCUGCCUAUUCGACCCUCGGGUUUCCUCGGCGCCCUUUUGCCUGGGGACCCCAUAUGCAUGGUACAAUAAACUAUCGUCUCUGAAGAA
This is an RNA transcript of Cavia porcellus (domestic guinea pig), 6628 nucleotides long. RefSeq lists it as uncharacterized. NCBI's taxonomy places the organism in Eukaryota, Metazoa, Chordata, Mammalia, Rodentia, Caviidae. The record is from RefSeq and is a predicted model, not a curated record. The transcript has 2 exons.